This is a long non-coding RNA of Microcebus murinus (gray mouse lemur), 1719 nucleotides long. NCBI's taxonomy places the organism in Eukaryota, Metazoa, Chordata, Mammalia, Primates, Cheirogaleidae. The record is from Ensembl.
GCGUGGCCUCUCCGCGGGCCCGGGGGCUCCGAGGCCGGGGCGAGGCCCGGUGAGACCCGCGCGCGGCCGGAGCGGGUGGAGGCCCGCCUGGGAGGUGGGGAGUGGGGGAGGGGGGAGGGAGGAAGGAGGAGGAGGAGGAGGAGGGGACAACUUCUUGUCCCUUAUUAAGUCACCUGGGAGGGCGACUGAUCCGUGUCCUUUGUACAGAACCGCGGGAGAAAACGGAGGCUCAAACGGAGGCCGGCGGGGGUCGAGGCUGGACGGUGUGGGGUGGGGGAGGCAGUUCUGCCACGAGGACAAUUUUUUUUGGGGGUGGGAGUGUGACUUAAGACAGGUGCGGAGUCCUUGAGGAAGGGUCCCCAACGCCACCAGCCUUUAGCCUCGAAUCCCUGGCGGCAGGGUAGAGGCCCAAAGAGGAGGCCCAGCCUCCUCCGGGAGUGGAGGCUUGAGGGCGCGCGCAGGUAAAGCGAGGGGGGCCUGGUUUUUGGGGGGACGCUUGGGGACCCUCCUGUCUGCUCGCGACACUAACGGGGGGGCCUCACCGGGGAACCCCCCCCACCACCUCCUCUCCGCCAUCCCGGAGGUCCUCGGGCCUCUACCCCGCGGGAGAAGAGGCUGCCGGAGGUUCACUGGGCUGGGGGUGACAAGAGGAGGGCCACCAGGCCUCCGCGGGUCACCUCCCCGCAGAAUCGCGCGCGCCCCGAUGUCCCUUGCGCUCCCCGUUGUCUCUCCGCAACUUCCCCACCUUUAGCGUCCGAUUCUUGUGCCGCGCGCGCAAAUUCCUGACGUCUCCCGGCUGUGUGUUUUGGAGUCUCCUGUUUUUCGGGGCCUCUCCCGAAGCCACCGCAGCGCGGCUCGGGGACAAGGACAGGACCGGGCCCCCGCCGCUGGAGCGCGGACGCCCGGGUGACCCGGACGCGGGGAGGAAGAUCGGGACGCCUGGAGGCCACAGCGGAACCUCCCGGGCCUCCUCCGCUGAGUCGCGCUGGAGGUCGCAGGGUCUUCUCAUCAAGCCUCCCUCCUCGGCGACCCUGCCACUGCGACCUCCACCCCCUCCGAAAAGCCAUCGAUCCCUCUCGACACCCGGCCGCCACCGUGGAACCCAGAGACGCGCGACAAGUUGUAAAUAAACCCGUUUUUUUCUUUCGUCGUUAGAAAAAAACGCAAUUCGUUUGCAAUUUGUCAACCCGCCUGGGGGGAAAAAAAAACGCUCUCUACCGGGCCUACCUGGUUUUCUCUCCGCAAAUCCUGGCUCACGGGGCCCGCGUAGACGCGGACGUUCCCGAAUCCCGGGUUGGUGAGGGGGCAGAGGGGGGGAACGAAGGCGUUUUUUUUUUGUUUUUUUGCGGGUUUUUUGUUGUUGUUGUUAUUUUGCGUUUUUUGGUUGUUUUUUUUUUUUUGCUUUUUUCCAAAACAACGAAUUUCCUUCCUCGUUUUCCGGUCAAGGAGAGGUGAGGACGGCCACACCCCAAGCAAAGGGGGCCCUGAGCGCCGAGCCUUUUCCCCUCUCCUUCUCUGUCUCGUUGUGAGUUCGAGGCUGGCCACCGCGCAAUGAAAGAUUCCAAACGGCCCGGGUUUGAUUGAACACGGAUCCGGGCGCUGUUGUCCGCGUCUACGCGGGGAACCGAGAGGCUGCAGCCUCCCCAUUCUUAUGGAAAUGCCACUAAACGGAUUGUGACUCGAGUUUGGGGGCCGCUGGGGGAUGCAAGGGGGGAAACU